UGCCAGCAGCCGCGGUAAUACGGGGGGGGCAAGCGUUGUUCGGAAUUACUGGGCGUAAAGGGUUCGUAGGUGGCCUGCUAAGUCAGACGUGAAAUCCCUCAGCUUAACUGGGGAACUGCGUCUGAGACUGGUGGGCUUGAGGACAGGAGAGGAACGCGGAAUUCCAGGUGUAGCGGUGAAAUGCGUAGAUAUCUGGAGGAACACCGGUGGCGAAGGCGGCGUUCUGGACUGUUUCUGACACUGAGGAACGAAAGCCAGGGGAGCAAACGGGAUUAGAUA
Molecule: ribosomal RNA, 279 nt
Filed under: uncultured bacterium
Lineage: Bacteria
Description: partial 16S ribosomal RNA
Rfam family: Bacterial small subunit ribosomal RNA
Source: RNAcentral